GUGCUCACUUCAGCAGCACAUAUACUAAAAUUGAAAUAAUACAGAGAAAAUUAGCAUGGCCCCUGCACAAGGAUGACACUCAAAUUCCUGAAGCGUUCCAUAUUUUU
Molecule: small nuclear RNA, 107 nt
Organism: Dipodomys ordii (Ord's kangaroo rat)
Lineage: Eukaryota; Metazoa; Chordata; Mammalia; Rodentia; Heteromyidae
Source: Ensembl